RNAcentral lists this ribosomal RNA (525 nucleotides) under uncultured bacterium. RNAcentral describes it as "bacterial SSU rRNA". It matches the Rfam family "Bacterial small subunit ribosomal RNA", at positions 29 to 582 of the family's 1533-position model. The record is from RNAcentral.
AUGAACGCUGGCGGCAGGCCUAACACAUGCAAGUCGAACGGAGUUAUAUUGUAGCUUGCUAUGGUAUAACUUAGUGGCAGACGGGUGAGUAAUGUAUAGGAAUCUACCUAGUAGUACGGAAUAAUUGUUGGAAACGGCAACUAAUACCGUAUACGCCCUACGGGGGAAAAAUUUAUUGCUAUUAGAUGAGCCUAUAUUAGAUUAGCUAGUUGGUGGAGUAAUAGCCUACCAAGGCAAUGAUCUAUAGCUGAUCUGAGAGGAUGAUCAGCCACACUGGAACUGAGAUACGGUCCAGACUCCUACGGGAGGCAGCAGUGGGGAAUAUUGGACAAUGGGCGAAAGCCUGAUCCAGCCAUGCCGCAUGAGUGAAGAAGGCCUUUGGGUUGUAAAGCUCUUUUAGUGAGGAAGAUAAUGACGGUACUCACAGAAGAAGUCCUGGCUAACUCCGUGCCAGCAGCCGCGGUAAUACGGAGAGGGCUAGCGUUAUUCGGAAUUAUUGGGCGUGAAGGGGGCGUAGGCGGAUUA